This 545-nucleotide unclassified non-coding RNA is filed under the name Rhodotorula mucilaginosa. RNAcentral describes it as "sequence contains 18S rRNA gene, ITS1, 5.8S rRNA gene, ITS2, 28S rRNA gene". The stretch from base 162 to 315 matches the Rfam family "5.8S ribosomal RNA". The record is from RNAcentral. Lineage: Eukaryota; Fungi; Basidiomycota; Microbotryomycetes; Sporidiobolales; Sporidiobolaceae.
GAUCAUUAGUGAAUAUAGGACGUCCAACUUAACUUGGAGUCCGAACUCUCACUUUCUAACCCUGUGCACUUGUUUGGGAUAGUAACUCUCGCAAGAGAGCGAACUCCUAUUCACUUAUAAACACAAAGUCUAUGAUUGUAUUAAAUUUUAUAACAAAAUAAAACUUUCAACAACGGAUCUCUUGGCUCUCGCAUCGAUGAAGAACGCAGCGAAAUGCGAUAAGUAAUGUGAAUUGCAGAAUUCAGUGAAUCAUCGAAUCUUUGAACGCACCUUGCGCUCCAUGGUAUUCCGUGGAGCAUGCCUGUUUGAGUGUCAUGAAUACUUCAACCCUCCUCUUUCUUAAUGAUUGAAGAGGUGUUUGGUUUCUGAGCGCUGCUGGCCUUUACGGUCUAGCUCGUUCGUAAUGCAUUAGCAUCCGCAAUCGAACUUCGGAUUGACUUGGCGUAAUAGACUAUUCGCUGAGGAAUUCUAGUCUUCGGACUAGAGCCGGGUUGGGUUAAAGGAAGCUUCUAAUCAGAAUGUCUACAUUUUAAGAUUAGAUCUCA